CAGCCGCCACGGUAAUACAGAGGGUGCGAGCGUUAAUCGGAUUUACUGGGCGUAAAGCGUGCGUAGGCGGCUUCUUAAGUCGGAUGUGAAAUCCCUGAGCUUAACUUAGGAAUUGCAUUCGAUACUGGGAAGCUAGAGUAUGGGAGAGGAUGGUAGAAUUCCAGGUGUAGCGGUGAAAUGCGUAGAGAUCUGGAGGAAUACCGAUGGCGAAGGCAGCCAUCUGGCCUAAUACUGACGCUGAGGUACGAAAGCAUGGGGAGCAAACAGGAUUAGAUACCCCAGUAGUCCCUGUCUCUUAUAU
Molecule: ribosomal RNA, 301 nt
Filed under: uncultured bacterium
Lineage: Bacteria
Description: partial 16S ribosomal RNA
Rfam family: Bacterial small subunit ribosomal RNA
Source: RNAcentral